Long non-coding RNA from Perca flavescens (yellow perch), 602 nucleotides. RefSeq lists it as uncharacterized. The transcript is spliced from 4 exons. Lineage: Eukaryota; Metazoa; Chordata; Actinopteri; Perciformes; Percidae. The record is from RefSeq and is a predicted model, not a curated record.
CUCACUAUUCUUUCCGUGGAUUGGUUACAGUGCUGAACGUUCAAGGGCAGAGUAAUGACCUAACAUUAUCACAAGAUGUCGCACUCUACAAAGUUAAAAGUCAAAGCUCGGCACAAAGUCAGAGAGAAAGUCAGUUCUUCAUCAUGUUAAAAGGGAUAUUGUUCUCCAUAUCAAACCACCCCAAACCACUUCUGCGAGUGAAGGUCCUGUAUUGAGUCUGCGGCAACAAAGACCCUCAUUCUGCCUGACACUGGAGACGUCCUGGCUAAAGCGAGGUCUGUGUCCUGGGACGGAGAGUGAUGCCAGCCAGUAAGAGAUGAACCAUGCGUAGUCUAGGUGCUGUUACGAGCGCAGAUGAAACGCACCAGGCUGAAUCACACCAGAACCUUGUGCCAAAUCACUUUUGCUCAGUCAGUGCCGGACGUGCAAAACAGCCUCUGAUUUCAGACUUCUGAGGGUGAUUUGCAAUAGCCUGUGUGAUCAUCACCAGGCUAUUGUGUUUGGCCGAGGACAUCAACUAAUGGAGCUCAAAGCGUCCUUUUCAAGCGCCUCUCGGUCUGUGUCGGCAACAGGUACCGUACCCGUUCCUGCACAAUGUAAGG